AAAAAAAAAAAAAGAAAAAAAAGCUACAAACUAAAACCAGAAUAUAUGAUUAAAUUAAGAGUUAGAUAGUUUGAUGAGGCAAAAAGAUGUAAAUGUACGAUUUUAGACAAUUUCUCUGCCUCACAUGGAUUACCAUAUGUUUGUACUUAUAUUAUGGUAAGUUUCUUAUGUCUCAAGUCUUAAUAUUUUUUUUUUUCAAUCUGUUUGACAAAUCUAUUUCCACAACAUUUGAUUCCUUUUACUAGCAUAUAUAGUUCCUCCAUAGCUGAGUUCUUACAGUAAUUUGAAGAAAUAAGAUAAAUUUAAUGGCUUAAUUAGGGCUAAACAUUCAGUUUAAACCGAAUUGAAUUAAACCACUUAAAUCCAAAACAAAAAUUUUACAUAAAAAAUGCAAUUGAAUCAAAUCAAUUUAAGAGAGGAAUCGAAUCAAAUCAAGCUAUUUUAGUUCGAUUCAGUUCAAAUUGUCAGUUUACUUUCAAAUUUCCCAAAUCAGAAAUUUUCAAAAUUUUCUUCAAAUCACAAAUCCCCAAUUUGCUACGCGAAGGGUCUGUUUGGAUGAGGUGAAGGAAGGGUAAAUAAUGGAAGGGUAAGAAAGGAUAAAGAAGGAAAGGAUAAGGAGAGUUAAAAUAAAAAAAAAUCUCAUGUUUGAGAAUGAGUCAAUUAAUGGAAAGAUAAGGAGAGGUAAGGAAAAGAUAAGGAGAGAUAAGAAAAGAUAAAAUUAAGAGGUGUAGAAAUGAAUUGUAAAAAAAAUUGAGAUUUGAGG
This 763-nucleotide unclassified non-coding RNA is filed under the name Hevea brasiliensis (rubber tree). Lineage: Eukaryota; Viridiplantae; Streptophyta; Magnoliopsida; Malpighiales; Euphorbiaceae. The record is from RNAcentral.